CCUACGGGAGGCAGCAGUGGGGAAUAUUGGACAAUGGGCGGAAGCCUGAUCCAGCAACGCCGCGUGAGGGAUGACGGCCUUCGGGUUGUAAACCUCUUUCGGUAGGGACGAAGCGCAAGUGACGGUACCUACUAAAGAAGCACCGGCCAACUACGUGCCAGCAGCCGCGGUAAU
This 174-nucleotide ribosomal RNA is filed under the name uncultured bacterium. RNAcentral describes it as "partial 16S rRNA". It matches the Rfam family "Bacterial small subunit ribosomal RNA", at positions 338 to 524 of the family's 1533-position model. The record is from RNAcentral.